GCUUUAGCUCAGUGGUAGAGCGUGGGAUUGCAGUCUCCUGCAACCAUCCUAAGGUCACUUGUUCGAACCAGGUAGGGAGCU
This 81-nucleotide transfer RNA is filed under the name Pseudocercospora eumusae. RNAcentral's name for it is "Mycosphaerella eumusae tRNA". It matches the Rfam family "tRNA". Rfam says of the family: Transfer RNA (tRNA) molecules are approximately 80 nucleotides in length. Their secondary structure includes four short double-helical elements and three loops (D, anti-codon, and T loops). Lineage: Eukaryota; Fungi; Ascomycota; Dothideomycetes; Mycosphaerellales; Mycosphaerellaceae. The record is from Rfam by way of RNAcentral.